AUGCAAGUCGAACGGAAUAAUGACUUCGGUUGUUAUUUAGUGGCGGAAGGGUUAGUAAUACAUAGAUAAUCUGUCCUCAACUUGGGAAUAACGGUUGGAAACGACCGCUAAUACCGAAUGUAGUAUGUUUAGGCAUCUAAAACAUAUUAAAGAAGGGGAUCUUCGGACCUUUCGGUUAAGGGAGAGUCUAUGGGAUAUCAGCUUGUUGGUGGGGUAAUGGCCUACCAAGGCUUUGACGUCUAGGCGGAUUGA
This 252-nucleotide ribosomal RNA is filed under the name uncultured Chlamydia sp. Its description in RNAcentral is "partial 16S ribosomal RNA". It matches the Rfam family "Bacterial small subunit ribosomal RNA", at positions 55 to 295 of the family's 1533-position model. Lineage: Bacteria; Pseudomonadati; Chlamydiota; Chlamydiia; Chlamydiales; Chlamydiaceae. The record is from RNAcentral.